RNAcentral lists this long non-coding RNA (1135 nucleotides) under Calidris pygmaea (Spoon-billed sandpiper). Its description in RNAcentral is "lncRNA (ENSCPGG00000008154.1)". Lineage: Eukaryota; Metazoa; Chordata; Aves; Charadriiformes; Scolopacidae. The record is from RNAcentral.
AAAGCCACCUCGUUGAGCAAGAGGGGACCGAUGAGAUUUCCAUGAACAAACUUCCUGCAGGGAGCAAAGGGCGGCCGGGAUCACCACCACCUCCUGGGGACGUACGGACAGAGAAGGGACCGCUAACGGUGGCCACGGGGAGGAGGAGGAGAGCAAGCCCAGGCAGAAGGAGGUACCUGGGUGGGGGGAGAGGCGUGGGACAUCCUUUUAAGAGGCUGUCAGUGCUUUUUGUGUCAUCGCUCGCGUGGACGCGUCCCAAGGUGCGAGCUGGCCUGGUCCUUCAGCUUCCCCGCUCUGCCCACAGGCGAUGGCGGCCACCACGGUGACCGACUCUGGGGGCGUGAGGAUCAUCACGGAGGUCAUCCCACCCACAGACCCCCGAGCAGCCCAGCUGGCUUCUGGUUCCAGGCCACCCGCCUCCACCGUGUUGUCGUUUCAAGUCCAAGGCUUCAGAAAAGCUCAGCCCAAGGCGCUGGGGACCAUCCAUAUCUUCACCGGGAUCAUCCACAUCUGCUUCGGGAUCAUCCUGACACUGUCGGAGAGUGGGACCCAUUCCAUCCCUGUGGCCAGCGGGGUCCUCUUCUGGCUCGGGCUCCUGCUCCUGCUCUCGGGCUCUCUGCUGGUGGAAAGUGAGAAAAGAGACAACAUCUUGCUGGUGAAGACCUGCUGCGUCGUCAACAUGGGGGUCAUCCUCAGCACGCUGGUGGCCACCCUCCUCCACACCACGGCCAUCACUCGCGACAUCCCCGGCUGCGAGCACAACAUGCCGUACCAGCUGAGACCCGAAUGGUGCUCGGACAUUGAGAACAAGGUAGAGCCUCCCGGUCCUGCUCCGGCGGUGGGUCCGAGCCUCCCUGGGCGGCUGCCACCCGGGGGGAGAGGGACGAAGGACCCGCUGGGCGACUCCCUCCCAACUCUCCUCCUCGCAGAUGCUGAGCAACGGGCUGGACUCCAUGUUCGUCAUCUUCUGCCUCCUGGAGUUCUGCGCGGCGGUGGCGGCCCUGGCCUUCGGCUACAACGCCGUCAAGCAGCACAACUACACGCGGAUGGUGAGGGGGACGGGGCCCUGGGGACACCAGCUCCGGUGUUUCAGCGGCAGCCGGGCCAGCAUCAUCCUCCCCCUUCCUUCCUCUGA